RNAcentral lists this ribosomal RNA (484 nucleotides) under uncultured bacterium. RNAcentral describes it as "partial 16S ribosomal RNA". It matches the Rfam family "Bacterial small subunit ribosomal RNA", at positions 30 to 507 of the family's 1533-position model. The record is from RNAcentral.
AUUGAACGCUGGCGGAAUGCUUUACACAUGCAAGUCGAACGGCAGCACGGGGGCAGCCCUGGUGGCGAGUGGCGAACGGGUGAGUAAUACAUCGGAACGUGCCCGGUCGUGGGGGAUAACGUAGCGAAAGUUACGCUAAUACCGCAUACGAUCUGAGGAUGAAAGCGGGGGACCUUCGGGCCUUGCGCGAUCGGAGCGGCCGAUGUCAGAUUAGGUAGUUGGUGGGGUAAAGGCCUACCAAGCCGACGAUCUGUAGCUGGUCUGAGAGGACGACCAGCCACACUGGGACUGAGACACGGCCCAGACUCCUACGGGAGGCAGCAGUGGGGAAUGUUGGACAAUGGGCGCAAGCCUGAUCCAGCCAUUCCGCGUGCAGGACGAAGGCCUUCGGGUUGUAAACUGCUUUUGUACGGAACGAAAAGGCUCUGGCUAAUACCUGGGGCUCAUGACGGUACCGUAAGAAUAAGCACCGGCUAACUACGUG